Molecule: transfer RNA, 70 nt
Filed under: Janus megamaculatus
Lineage: Eukaryota; Metazoa; Arthropoda; Insecta; Hymenoptera; Cephidae
Description: tRNA-Trp
Source: RNAcentral
AAGAUUUUAAGUUAAAUAAAACUAUUAACCUUCAAAGUUAAAUAUAAUAAAAUGUAUAUAUUAAAUCUUA